GCAGAACGCGAAGAACCUUACCCACCUUUGACAUGUACGGAAGUUGCCAGAGAUGGCUUCGUGCUCGAAAGAGAGCCGUAACACAGGUGCUGCAUGGCUGUCGUCAGCUCGUGUCGUGAGAUGUUGGGUUAAGUCCCGCAACGAGCGCAACCCUUGUCAUUAGUUGCUACGAAAGGGCACUCUAAUGAGACUGCCGGUGACAAACCGGAGGAAGGUGGGGAUGACGUCAAGUCCUCAUGGCCCUUAUAGGUGGGGCUACGCACGUCAUACAAUGGCCGGUACAAAGGGCAGCCAACCCGCGAGGGGGAGCUAAUCCCAUAAAGCCGGUCGUAGUCCGGAUCGCAGUCUGCAACUCGACUGCGUGAAGUCGGAAUCGCUAGUAAUCGUGGAUCAGCAUGUCACGGUGAAUACGUUCCCGGGUCUUGUACACACCG
This 434-nucleotide ribosomal RNA is filed under the name uncultured bacterium. RNAcentral's name for it is "bacterial SSU rRNA". It matches the Rfam family "Bacterial small subunit ribosomal RNA", at positions 954 to 1392 of the family's 1533-position model. The record is from RNAcentral.